GAUGAACGCUAGCUACAGGCUUAACACAUGCAAGUCGAACGAGAAUCUACUGAAAGAGUUUUCGGACAAUGGAAGUAGAGGAAAGUGGCGGACGGGUGAGUAACGCGUGAGGAACCUGCCUUGAAGAGGGGGACAACAGUUGGAAACGACUGCUAAUACCGCAUGAUGCAUAGGGGUCGCAUGAUUCUUAUGCCAAAGAUUUAUCGCUUCAAGAUGGCCUCGCGUCCGAUUAGCUAGUUGGCGGGGUAACGGCCCACCAAGGCGACGAUCAGUAGCCGGACUGAGAGGUUGAACGGCCACAUUGGGACUGAGAUACGGCCCAGACUCCUACGGGAGGCAGCAGUGGGGAAUAUUGGGCAAUGGGCGCAAGCCUGACCCAGCAACGCCG
RNAcentral lists this ribosomal RNA (388 nucleotides) under uncultured bacterium. Its description in RNAcentral is "bacterial SSU rRNA". It matches the Rfam family "Bacterial small subunit ribosomal RNA", at positions 28 to 399 of the family's 1533-position model. The record is from RNAcentral.